This 421-nucleotide RNase P RNA is filed under the name Chitinophagaceae bacterium. Its description in RNAcentral is "RNase P RNA component class A". It matches the Rfam family "Bacterial RNase P class A". From Rfam's summary of the family: Ribonuclease P (RNase P) is a ubiquitous endoribonuclease, found in archaea, bacteria and eukarya as well as chloroplasts and mitochondria. Lineage: Bacteria; Pseudomonadati; Bacteroidota; Chitinophagia; Chitinophagales; Chitinophagaceae. The record is from RNAcentral.
GCUACAAGCCAGGCUAUCGCUUCUUAUUUAUUUAAGAGGAGGAAAGUCCGGACAGCACAGAGCAAUGCACCGGUGAAGAGCCGGGUGAUGUGAAAGCAUCAACAGAUAGUGCCACAGAAAAUAACUGCCUUUCUCCCUCUCUACUUGUGGAGAGGGUUGGGGUGAGGUUGAAAACGUAGGGUAAGAGCCUACGGCUUUUGAUGGUAACAUCAUUGGCGGGUAAACCUUGCAUGCUGAAAUGCCACAUAUAGUAUCGUUUGAGGACGGCUCGUCCAAGACCCGCCGAAAGGAGGACACGGUACAGGGUAGGCAGCUUGAUUCCGGUGAGUAAUUACCGGGACAGAUAAAUGAUAGUCCACAACCCGCCUUCGCUUAGGCUUUGGCGGGCAGACAGAAUCCGGCUUACCGGCUUGUAGCUUUU